RNAcentral lists this signal recognition particle RNA (100 nucleotides) under Acidobacteriota bacterium. Its description in RNAcentral is "Acidobacteria bacterium signal recognition particle sRNA small type". It matches the Rfam family "Bacterial small signal recognition particle RNA". From Rfam's summary of the family: The signal recognition particle (SRP) is a universally conserved ribonucleoprotein involved in the co-translational targeting of proteins to membranes. Archaeal SRP consists of a 7S RNA and homologues of the eukaryotic SRP19 and SRP54 proteins. The record is from RNAcentral. Lineage: Bacteria; Pseudomonadati; Acidobacteriota.
GCCCGAGCCCUGUGCAACGGGAGCCCCCGAACCCCGUCAGACCCGGAAGGGAGCAGCGGUAGGCGGCCACACCCGUGUGCCGCAGGUUUGCUUGGGCCCU